RNAcentral lists this small RNA (532 nucleotides) under Pan troglodytes (chimpanzee). Its description in RNAcentral is "processed transcript". Lineage: Eukaryota; Metazoa; Chordata; Mammalia; Primates; Hominidae. The record is from RNAcentral.
AACAGGCCACAAAGGAAGGGAUUGCUGAGCUGCGGAUUUCUCCCAGAAAUCGGGAGUUGGCUGGGACUGAGCCAGGCCCUAAGAGAGCCCCUGGCAGCCCCAGGGGCUCCUGGGGCAAUAACAGGGCAUCCACCAGGAUCUCCUGAGGCUCUAUCUCUGCUGAGAAGCCAGUGCCUACUGAAUGCGGGGGUACCCUGCCGGUUCCUGCUCUCAUCAACUGCCCUGUGUGAGCUGCACAUGUGACUGACUGAUUAGUGGGGUGGCUUAUCUCCUCUGAACUUGGACUUUGCCUCUCCACUCCUUGAAGACAGCUGCUCCUUCCCACAAGGGGGGUUCAGUGAAUUUGGGGAGAUCCCAAGUGGAUUCCCAGGCAUCCUGGUGGACCCCUGCAGGGACUAGGAGGGGCCCGCUGUGAUCAUAUGGGCGGUGGUUCUGGGCCUUAUGAUCUCCUCAUUGCGUCCCCCUCUGCCCACUGGACUUGGACUUCGGAUCUGACCCCAGACCUGCCGGCUACCUCGGGAGGGCCCACCUC